This 640-nucleotide ribosomal RNA is filed under the name Alcaligenes faecalis. RNAcentral's name for it is "partial 16S ribosomal RNA". It matches the Rfam family "Bacterial small subunit ribosomal RNA", at positions 57 to 690 of the family's 1533-position model. The record is from RNAcentral. Lineage: Bacteria; Pseudomonadati; Pseudomonadota; Betaproteobacteria; Burkholderiales; Alcaligenaceae.
GCAGUCGAACGGCAGCGCGAGAGAGCUUGCUCUCUUGGCGGGGAGUGGGGGAGGGGUGAGUAAUAUAUCGGAACGUGCCCAUUAUCGGGGGAUAACUACUCGAAAAAGUGGCUAAUACCCCAUACGCCCUACGGGGGAAAGGGGGGGAUCCCAAGACCUCUCACUAUUGGAGCGGCCGAUAUCGGAUUACCUAGUUGGUGGGGUAAAGGCUCACCAAGGCAACGAUCCGUAGCUGGUUUGAAAGGACGACCAGCCACCCUGGGACUGAAACACGGCCCAAACUCCUACGGGAGGCAGCAGUGGGGAAUUUUGGACAAUGGGGGAAACCCUGAUCCAGCCAUCCCGCGUGUAUGAUGAAGGCCUUCGGGUUGUAAAGUACUUUUGGCAAAGAAAAAAAGGUAUCCCCUAAUACGGGAUACUGCUGACGGUAUCUGCAAAAUAAACACCGGCUAACUAUGUGCCAGCAGCCGCGGUAAAACGUAGGGUGCAAGCGUUAAUCGCAAUUACUGGGCGUAAAGCGUGUGUAGGCGGUUCGGAAAAAAAGAUGUGAAAUCCCAGGGCUCACCCUUGGAACUGCAUUUUUAACUGCCGACUAUAUAUGUGGAGGGGGGUAGAAUUCCACCUGUAGCAGUGAAAUGCG